This 100-nucleotide ribosomal RNA is filed under the name Yersinia enterocolitica subsp. palearctica. Lineage: Bacteria; Pseudomonadati; Pseudomonadota; Gammaproteobacteria; Enterobacterales; Yersiniaceae. The record is from RNAcentral.
CCUGGCGGCCAUAGCGCGGUGGACCCACCUGAACCCAUGCCGAACUCAGAAGUGAAACGCCGUAGCGCCGAUGGUAGUGUGUAAAGGAUGGGUAUCAGGA